UACAGAGGGUGCUAGCGUUGUUCGGAGUCAUUGGGCGUAAAGCGUGCGCAGGCGGCUUUGCAAGACAGAUGUGAAAUCCCCGGGCUUAACCUGGGAACUGCAUUUGUGACUGCAUGGCUGGAGUGCGGCAGAGGGGGAUGGAAUUCCGCGUGUAGCAGUGAAAUGCGUAGAUAUGCGGAGGAACACCGAUGGCGAAGGCAAUCCCCUGGGCCUGCACUGACGCUCAUGCACGAAAGCGUGGGGAGCAAACAGG
This 253-nucleotide ribosomal RNA is filed under the name uncultured bacterium. RNAcentral describes it as "partial 16S ribosomal RNA". It matches the Rfam family "Bacterial small subunit ribosomal RNA", at positions 524 to 776 of the family's 1533-position model. The record is from RNAcentral.